CCUACGGGAGGCAGCAGUGGGGAAUAUUGCACAAUGGGGGAAACCCUGAUGCAGCGACGCCGCGUGAGUGAAGAAGGAUGUCGGUACGAAAAGACCUAUAAGCAGGGAAGAAAAUGACGGUACAUGACCAAGAAGCCCUGGCUAACUACGGGCCAGCAGCCGCGGUAAGACGUAGGGGGCAAGCGUUAUCCGGAUUUACUGGGUGUAAAGGGAGCGGAGGCGGCGAUGCAAGUCAGAAGUGAAAGCCCGGGGCUCAACUCCGGGACUGCUUUUGAAACUGUGUUGCUAGAUUGCAGGAGAGGUAAGUGGAAUUCCUCGUGUAGCGGUGAAAUGCGUAGAUAUUAGGAGGAACACCAGUGGCGAAGGCGGCUUACUGGACUGUAAAUGACGCUGAGGCUCGAAAGCGUGGGGAGCAAACAGGAUUAGAUACCCGGGUAGUC
Molecule: ribosomal RNA, 440 nt
Filed under: uncultured bacterium
Lineage: Bacteria
Description: partial 16S ribosomal RNA
Rfam family: Bacterial small subunit ribosomal RNA
Source: RNAcentral